GUACUCGCUUCGGCAGCACAUACACUAAAAUUGGAAUGAUACAGAGAUUAGCAUGGACCCUGCGCAAGGAUGACACGCAAAUUCGUGAAGCGUUCCAUUUUUUU
RNAcentral lists this small nuclear RNA (104 nucleotides) under Rhinolophus ferrumequinum (greater horseshoe bat). The record is from RNAcentral. Lineage: Eukaryota; Metazoa; Chordata; Mammalia; Chiroptera; Rhinolophidae.